GCUGGGCGUGGUGGCGGGUGCCUGUAAUCCCAGCUACUAGGGAGGCUGAGGUAGGAGACUCGCUUGAACCUGGGAGACAGAGAUUGCAGUGAGCUGAGAUUGUGCCACUGCACUCUAGCCCAGGCAACAGUGCGAGACUCCAUCUCAA
This 148-nucleotide non-coding RNA is filed under the name Gorilla gorilla gorilla (western lowland gorilla). Lineage: Eukaryota; Metazoa; Chordata; Mammalia; Primates; Hominidae. The record is from Rfam by way of RNAcentral.